CGAUAGGCGGCUUUGGGGUCGCCCCAGGAGUCCAGCUGCGAGAGACCAAUGGGAUUUGAAAAUGGCCUUGAUGAUUCAGACGGCCGUGACGUCAGCGGGGUCAAGUUGUCGGCAGGCGGAGCGCGCAUCGUGGAGUAACAGCGCCACCUAGCAGCUGCCUCGGGGGAAGAUUCCUGGAGAGAAAAAGGGAAUCCGCGGAGCCUCGGCCAGUUUGGAGGAGUCACGGAUCACACGGGAAACCAGGACACAAAACGCGACAAAAUCCGACCCAGAGAAGUGUUUACACAGCGAAUGGGCUGGGAGCAUUUUUGAAAGAAGAAAGACCAGUCUAUUUUUGUUGUUUUUUAAUAAGGGGAAGAAAUAAAGGGAAAUGUAUGUUCCAAAUAGUUCUUUCCGUUUCUCCAUCGCCUUUCUUCCAAAGCGAACUAAACUCUCCACCCCUUCCUCAGGAAACGGAAUCCGGAGAAAAACUUGUCUUUCCGGUCGCCCCGCAUUUUUCCCUGGAUAGAGCCUCCGGUUUCGACUUUCUGAGGGGCUGGAUGCUGGCGGGGAGCGCACUGAAGCCGGAGCGCCCCGGCGAGGAGGAGUGAGGAGGCUAGAUCGCUUCAAGGGAGGCCCAAGCCGGCGCGGCUAGAAGACUGCGGAAAGAAAUCCGCCGAGUUCCCCAAUCCAAGGGUGGCGAGAAGGCGCAAGGGUUUCUGAACCUCCGGAAAACUGGAAGGAAAUGUGGAGUAUGUGACUUGCUUGCAGGACCGGCCAGGGGAGAUUUGAAAUGGUUUUGUGUUUUCAUUUGCAGGGGUCGCCGUGGCCUCAGCAUGGGGGUUGUCCAGGGCAAGGUUAGGCUGUUUAGGCCCCAGACAAGACUUGGGACAGCCCGGGCAGCAGUCAAUCCAGGGAGCCAUUUGUCCCACCGCCCAUCCCGCGGGAAACGGCCGA
Lemur catta (Ring-tailed lemur) is the source of this 936-nucleotide long non-coding RNA. RefSeq lists it as uncharacterized. NCBI's taxonomy places the organism in Eukaryota, Metazoa, Chordata, Mammalia, Primates, Lemuridae. The transcript is spliced from 3 exons. The record is from RefSeq and is a predicted model, not a curated record.